CUACGGGGUGCUGCAGGCGCGAAACCUUUACAAUGCACGAAAGUGUGAUAAGGGAAUCCUAAGUGCUCAUGCAUUGCAUGGGCUUUUGCUAAGAGUAAAAAUCUUGGCGAAUAAGUGGUGGGUAAGACUGGUGCCAGCCGCCGCGGUAACACCAGCGCCACAAGUGGGGACCGUCAUUAUUGGGCCUAAAGCGUCCGUAGCCCGUUUGGUAAAUUUCUUGUGAAAUCAUCUCGCUCAACGUGAUGGAUUGCAGGAAACACUGCCAGACUUGGAACCGGGAGGGGCUAGAGGUAUUGCUGGGGUAGCGGUAAAAUGUUAUAAUCCCAGUAAGACCACCUGUGGCGAAGGCGUCUAGCUAGAACGGUUUCGACGGUGAGGGACGAAAGCCAGGGGAGCGAUCCGGAUUAGAUACCCGAGUAGUC
This 422-nucleotide ribosomal RNA is filed under the name uncultured archaeon. RNAcentral describes it as "partial 16S ribosomal RNA". It matches the Rfam family "Archaeal small subunit ribosomal RNA", at positions 323 to 746 of the family's 1478-position model. The record is from RNAcentral.